UGGGCGCAGCCUGAUGCAGCCAUGCCGCGUGUGUGAAGAAGGCCUUCGGGUUGUAAAGUACUUUCAGUCGUGAGGAAGGCGGCGUCGUUAAUAGCGGCGUUGUUUGACGUUAGCGACAGAAGAAGCACCGGCUAACUCCGUGCCAGCAGCCGCGGUAAUACGGAGGGUGCGAGCGUUAAUCGGAAUUACUGGGCGUAAAGCGCAUGCAGGUGGUUUGUUAAGUCAGAUGUGAAAGCCCGGGGCUCAACCUCGGAAUAGCAUUUGAAACUGGCAGACUAGAGUACUGUAGAGGGGGGUAGAAUUUCAGGUGUAGCGGUGAAAUGCGUAGAGAUCUGAAGGAAUACCGGUGGCGAAGGCGGCCCCCUGGACAGAUACUGACACUCAGAUGCGAAAGCGUGGGGAGCAAACAGGAUUAGAUACCCUGGUAGUCCACGCCGUAAACGAUGUCUACUUGGAGGUUGUGGCCUUGAGCCGUGGCUUUCGGAGCUAACGCGUUAAGUAGACCGCCUGGGGAGUACGGUCGCAAGAUUAAAACUCAAAUGAAUUGACGGGG
This 553-nucleotide ribosomal RNA is filed under the name Vibrio alginolyticus. RNAcentral's name for it is "bacterial SSU rRNA". It matches the Rfam family "Bacterial small subunit ribosomal RNA", at positions 372 to 918 of the family's 1533-position model. The record is from RNAcentral. Lineage: Bacteria; Pseudomonadati; Pseudomonadota; Gammaproteobacteria; Vibrionales; Vibrionaceae.